Molecule: ribosomal RNA, 107 nt
Filed under: Prevotellaceae bacterium
Lineage: Bacteria; Pseudomonadati; Bacteroidota; Bacteroidia; Bacteroidales; Prevotellaceae
Description: partial 16S ribosomal RNA
Rfam family: Bacterial small subunit ribosomal RNA
Source: RNAcentral
ACAAUGAAGAGUUUGAUCCUGGCUCAGGAUGAACGCUAGCGGCAGGCUUAACACAUGCAAGUCGAGGGGCAGCGGGGGUAGCAAUACCUGCCGGCGACCGGCGCAAG